Molecule: ribosomal RNA, 701 nt
Filed under: bacterium xpnta621lb522onp10.8
Lineage: Bacteria
Description: bacterial SSU rRNA
Rfam family: Bacterial small subunit ribosomal RNA
Source: RNAcentral
ACACAUGCAAGUCGAGCGGAUGAAGAGAGCUUGCUCUCUGAUUCAGCGGCGGACGGGUGAGUAAUGCCUAGGAAUCUGCCUAGUAGUGGGGGACAACGUUUCGAAAGGAACGCUAAUACCGCAUACGUCCUACGGGAGAAAGUGGGGGAUCUUCGGACCUCACGCUAUUAGAUGAGCCUAGGUCGGAUUAGCUAGUUGGUAGGGUAACGGCCUACCAAGGCGACGAUCCGUAACUGGUCUGAGAGGAUGAUCAGUCACACUGGAACUGAGACACGGUCCAGACUCCUACGGGAGGCAGCAGUGGGGAAUAUUGGACAAUGGGCGAAAGCCUGAUCCAGCCAUGCCGCGUGUGUGAAGAAGGCCCUCGGGUCGUAAAGCACUUUAAGUUGGGAGGAAGGGCUCAUAGCGAAUACCUGUGAGUUUUGACGUUACCAACAGAAUAAGCACCGGCUAACUUCGUGCCAGCAGCCGCGGUAAUACGAAGGGUGCAAGCGUUAAUCGGAAUUACUGGGCGUAAAGCGCGCGUAGGUGGCUUGAUAAGUUGGAUGUGAAAUCCCCGGGCUCAACCUGGGAACUGCAUCCAAAACUGUCUGGCUAGAGUGUGGUAGAGGGUAGUGGAAUUUCCAGUGUAGCGGUGAAAUGCGUAGAUAUUGGAAGGAACACCAGUGGCGAAGGCGACUACCUGGACUAACACUGACACU